RNAcentral lists this transfer RNA (76 nucleotides) under Gammaproteobacteria bacterium. Its description in RNAcentral is "tRNA-Thr". It matches the Rfam family "tRNA". Rfam says of the family: Transfer RNA (tRNA) molecules are approximately 80 nucleotides in length. Lineage: Bacteria; Pseudomonadati; Pseudomonadota; Gammaproteobacteria. The record is from RNAcentral. RNAcentral also lists the same sequence under 2 other names.
GCCGGCGUAGCUCAGUUGGCAGAGCAACUGAUUUGUAAUCAGUGGGUCGGGAGUUCGAUUCUCUCCGCCGGCACCA